GACGAACGCUGGCGGCGUGCCUAAUACAUGCAAGUAGAACGCUGAAGGAGGAGCUUGCUUCUCUGGAUGAGUUGCGAACGGGUGAGUAACGCGUAGGUAACCUGCCUGGUAGCGGGGGAUAACUAUUGGAAACGAUAGCUAAUACCGCAUAAUAGUAGAUGUCGCAUGACAUUUGCUUAAAAGGUGCAAUUGCAUCACUACCAGAUGGACCUGCGUUGUAUUAGCUAGUUGGUGAGGUAACUGCUCACCAAGGCAACGAUACAUAGCCGACCUGAGAGGGUGAUCGGCCACACUGGGACUGAGACACGGCCCAGACUCCUACGGGAGGCAGCAGUAGGGAAUCUUCGGCAAUGGACGGAAGUCUGACCGAGCAACGCCGCGUGAGUGAAGAAGGUUUUCGGAUCGUAAAGCUCUGUUGUAAGAGAAGAACGAGUGUGAGAGUGGAAAGUUCACACUGUGUCGGUAUCUUACCAGAAAGGGACGGCUAACUACGUG
Molecule: ribosomal RNA, 495 nt
Filed under: uncultured bacterium
Lineage: Bacteria
Description: partial 16S ribosomal RNA
Rfam family: Bacterial small subunit ribosomal RNA
Source: RNAcentral